Molecule: unclassified non-coding RNA, 244 nt
Filed under: plant metagenome
Description: partial contains small subunit ribosomal RNA, internal transcribed spacer 1, and 5.8S ribosomal RNA
Source: RNAcentral
UCUCCGUUGGUGAACCAGCGGAGGGAUCAUUACCGAGUUUACAACUCCCAAACCCAAUGCGAACCAUACCAAACUGUUGCCUCGGCGGGGUCACGCCCCGGGUGCGUCGCAGCCCCGGAACCAGGCGCCCGCCGGAGGGACCAACCAAACUCUUUCUGUAGUCCCCUCGCGGACGUUAUUUUUACAGCUCUGAGCAAAAAUUCAAAAUGAAUCAAAACUUUCAACAACGGAUCUCUCGGUUCUG